RNAcentral lists this transfer RNA (73 nucleotides) under Salmo salar (Atlantic salmon). It matches the Rfam family "tRNA". Rfam says of the family: Transfer RNA (tRNA) molecules are approximately 80 nucleotides in length. Their secondary structure includes four short double-helical elements and three loops (D, anti-codon, and T loops). Further hydrogen bonds mediate the characteristic L-shaped molecular structure. tRNAs have two regions of fundamental functional importance: the anti-codon, which is responsible for specific mRNA codon recognition, and the 3' end, to which the tRNAs corresponding amino acid is attached (by aminoacyl-tRNA synthetases). tRNAs cope with the degeneracy of the genetic code in two manners: having more than one tRNA (with a specific anti-codon) for a particular amino acid; and 'wobble' base-pairing, i.e. permitting non-standard base-pairing at the 3rd anti-codon position. Lineage: Eukaryota; Metazoa; Chordata; Actinopteri; Salmoniformes; Salmonidae. The record is from Rfam by way of RNAcentral.
AUCUCUGUGGCUCAGUUGGUAGAGCAUGGUGUUUGCAAUGCCAGGGUUGUGGGUUUGAUUCCCACAGGGGACC